GCGCUGCUGGUGUAGUGGUAUCAUGUAAGAUUAACAUUCUUGCGACCCUGGUUCGAUUCCUGGGUGGUGCA
Ictalurus punctatus (channel catfish) is the source of this 71-nucleotide non-coding RNA. Lineage: Eukaryota; Metazoa; Chordata; Actinopteri; Siluriformes; Ictaluridae. The record is from the annotation of a RefSeq genome assembly.